This 126-nucleotide small nucleolar RNA is filed under the name Thermococcus kodakarensis KOD1. Its description in RNAcentral is "HgcE RNA (Pab105)". It matches the Rfam family "HgcE RNA (Pab105)". Rfam says of the family: The HgcE ncRNA gene was identified computationally in AT-rich hyperthermophiles. The genes were named hgcA through hgcG ("high GC"). It was also identified as a part of Pab105 H/ACA snoRNA with rRNA targets. The record is from Rfam by way of RNAcentral. Lineage: Archaea; Methanobacteriati; Methanobacteriota; Thermococci; Thermococcales; Thermococcaceae.
GGCCCACAGUGAAGGGAUGAGACGAUGCCGGGCGGACAGGGCCCGGUCUCCGGACCGCUGGAGGGGGUCUCUGGCCGUCAAUGAGAGCGGGGGAUCAGCCGGGCCCACACCGAUUGGUUUCUGUUA